GACGAACGCUGGCGGCGUGCUUAACACAUGCAAGUCGAACGGAAAGGCCCUGCUUUUGUGGGGUGCUCGAGUGGCGAACGGGUGAGUAACACGUGAGUAACCUGCCCUUGACUUUGGGAUAACUUCAGGAAACUGGGGCUAAUACCGGAUAGGAGCUCCUGCUGCAUGGUGGGGGUUGGAAAGUUUCGGCGGUUGGGGAUGGACUCGCGGCUUAUCAGCUUGUUGGUGGGGUAGUGGCUUACCAAGGCUUUGACGGGUAGCCGGCCUGAGAGGGUGACCGGCCACAUUGGGACUGAGGUACGGCCCAGACUCCAACGGGAGGCAGCAGUGGGGAAUAUUGCACAAUGGGCGGAAGCCUGAUGCAGCAACGCCGCGUGCGGGAUGACGGCCUUCGGGUUGUGAACCGCUUUCGCCUUUGACGAAGCGUGAGUGACGGUAAUGGGUAAGGAAGCACCGGCUAACUACGUG
This 468-nucleotide ribosomal RNA is filed under the name uncultured bacterium. RNAcentral describes it as "partial 16S ribosomal RNA". It matches the Rfam family "Bacterial small subunit ribosomal RNA", at positions 28 to 507 of the family's 1533-position model. The record is from RNAcentral.